GAAAUGCGAUAAGUAAUGUGAAUUGCAGAAUUCAGUGAAUCAUCUAAUCUUUGAACGCACCUUGCGCUCCUUGGUAUUCCUUGGAGCAUGCCUGUUUGAGUAUCAUGAAAUCUUCAAAUUAAAUCUUUUGUUAACUCAAUUGGUUUCUACUUUGGUAUUGGAGGUCUUUGCAGCUUCACACCUGCUCCUCUUUGUUCAUUAGCUGGAUCUCAGUGUUAUGCUUGGUUCCACUCGGCGUGAUAAGUUAUCUAUCGCUGAGGACACUGUAAAAGGUGGCCAAGGUAAAUGCAGAUGAACCGCUUCUAAUAGUCCAUUGACUUGGACAAUACUUUUAUGAUCUGAUCUCAAAUCAGGUAGGACUACCCGCUGAACUUAAGC
Molecule: unclassified non-coding RNA, 378 nt
Filed under: plant metagenome
Description: partial contains 5.8S ribosomal RNA, internal transcribed spacer 2, and large subunit ribosomal RNA
Rfam family: 5.8S ribosomal RNA (bases 1-105)
Source: RNAcentral